Molecule: non-coding RNA, 932 nt
Organism: Pimephales promelas (fathead minnow)
Lineage: Eukaryota; Metazoa; Chordata; Actinopteri; Cypriniformes; Leuciscidae
Source: RefSeq, a predicted model, not a curated record
UCUGUGUUAAAUGUUAAAUAAGAAGAAUCAUUUUCCUGACAGUGAGAUCAUCUAGAAACACUGAUGUCUGUAAUCAUGAUGCAGUAGAUCACAUUUUUUAUUGUAAUAUGAUUUGAUCUGAGAUCUUUUCUGUUGCAGCUGUUCCUCAUACUGAUCACAUUCACUCUGAAGUCUCAUGGCUUUUAGUAGUGCUGGUUUUCACUGGUAUUGGUUUAUUUCUGUCUGGACUCAUGGGAUUCAUCUGUCUGUGCCCCUUUGACAGUUCUGAUGACGCUCUCACAGAGGUGAUCUACAGCUCCUGCCAUGUGGAAACAACAUCUCUGUUAUGCUCCUCAAAACAUGGAUGAACCGUUUCAUUUCUUUACUUGUUGCACCUCUAAAGAGAAAAAUGAUUUGUGCAGAGAAUGAUAGCAGCCUUUAUGUGCACUAUGUAGCUACUUAAUUCAUACUGAUCAGCAAGCCAGGGCAGAAUCUGUGGAGCUUUUUCACACAUUUUGAUUUUAAGAAAAAAUGAUUUUAUUGCUAAAAUGUACAGUAUGUUAAAUGUUGCUGAAGGCAUCUUCAAGUCAUCUAGACUUCAGUGAUGCAGAUCCAGUGUCAUUCAAGAUUUGAAGCAUCAAAAACAGAAAAGUUGUAACACUUUUUUAAUCAACUAUUGAUUAUAACAUGCUACGGUUGAAAUGCAACUUUACUGUUAGCAGUCAAUUUAGCAAAAUUGGCAUAUAGUGCUCUACUUGUCAGGUUUGUAUAGUCACUGUAACAAAAUAUUGUAAUUUUACCUUUAAAAGACUAUAAAAAUUUAAUUAUUUCAUUAUUUAGUUCCACGAUUGCCCAAAUCAACCGCAUGACAACGAUCACAUUUGUUUCGUGUUUAUUCGAAUACCCUUGGUCACUAAUGCUCACAAAUAAUAAAACAUUUUUUUUACAGUAAA